CCUACGGGCGACUGCAGUGAGGAAUAUUGGUCAAUGGACGCGAGUCUGAACCAGCCAAGUAGCGUGCAGGAUGACUGCCCUAUGGGUUGUAAACUUCUUUUAUAUGGGAAUAAAAUGUUCCACGUGUGGGAUUUUGUAUGUACCAUACGAAUAAGGAUCGGCUAACUCCGUGCCAGCAGCCGCGGUAAUACGGAGGAUCCGAGCGUUAUCCGGAUUUAUUGGGUUUAAAGGGAGCGUAGGCGGAUUGUUAAGUCAGUUGUGAAAGUUUGCGGCUCAACCGUAAAAUUGCAGUUGAAACUGGCAGGCUUGAGUACAGUAGAGGUAGGCGGAAUUCGUGGUGUAGCGGUGAAAUGCUUAGAUAUCACGAAGAACUCCGAUUGCGAAGGCAGCUCACUGGACUGCAACUGACACUGAGGCUCGAAAGUGUGGGUAUCAAACAGGAUUAGAUACCCCUGUAGUC
This 460-nucleotide ribosomal RNA is filed under the name uncultured bacterium. RNAcentral describes it as "partial 16S ribosomal RNA". It matches the Rfam family "Bacterial small subunit ribosomal RNA", at positions 338 to 795 of the family's 1533-position model. The record is from RNAcentral.